UACAUGGGGUGCAAACGUUGCUCGGAAUUAUUGGGCGUAAAGCGCACGUAGGCGGUUUGUUAAGUCGGAUGUGAAAUCCCUCGGCUCAACUGAGGAAGUGCACCCGAAACUGGCAGGCUUGAGUACUAAAGAGGGUCGCGGAAUUCCCGGUGUAGAGGUGAAAUUCGUAGAUAUCGGGAGGAACACCGGUGGCGAAGGCAGCUCGCUGGGACGGUACUGACGCUGAGGCGCGAAAGCGUGGGGAGCAAACAGG
This 253-nucleotide ribosomal RNA is filed under the name uncultured bacterium. Its description in RNAcentral is "partial 16S ribosomal RNA". It matches the Rfam family "Bacterial small subunit ribosomal RNA", at positions 524 to 776 of the family's 1533-position model. The record is from RNAcentral.